Molecule: long non-coding RNA, 297 nt
Filed under: Elaeis guineensis (African oil palm)
Lineage: Eukaryota; Viridiplantae; Streptophyta; Magnoliopsida; Arecales; Arecaceae
Description: long non-coding RNA (EGUI_LNC051826)
Source: RNAcentral
AAGUGUCGGAGGGUUCCCACAAAAAUCACUUUCAGUUGGAGAUUUAUUUUGUAAGUCCGAUCGCCAUAAUCUUUGCAAGACUGUCAAACUCCAAUGACUCCAGUUCAAGCCGAGAAUCUGUAGCAACAACUGGUAUCUCUGCAAAAAUCAAUUGGGAUUGAUUGUGAACCCAAAAAAAAAAUAAUCAACUGUAGGUUAUGGUUGGUGAUCUAGUAAAAAUCAACUAGAUUAGAUUGCAAACCCAUGAAAACAAUCGGAUUGUAAUCUUAAAUAGGUUAUAGUUGAAAUUCUCAAGGG